UUUAUGGAGAGUUUGAUCCUGGCUCAGGAUGAACGCUGGCGGCGUGCCUAAUACAUGCAAGUCGAGCGAACGGACGAGAAGCUUGCUUCUCUGAUGUUAGCGGCGGACGGGUGAGUAACACGUGGAUAACCUACCUAUAAGACUGGGAUAACUUCGGGAAACCGGAGCUAAUACCGGAUAAUAUUUUGAACUGCAUGGUUCAAAAGUAAAAGACGGUCUUGCUGUCACUUAUAGAUGGAUCCGCGCUGCAUUAGCUAGUUGGUAAGGUAAC
This 271-nucleotide ribosomal RNA is filed under the name Staphylococcus aureus. Its description in RNAcentral is "partial 16S ribosomal RNA". It matches the Rfam family "Bacterial small subunit ribosomal RNA", at positions 1 to 261 of the family's 1533-position model. The record is from RNAcentral. Lineage: Bacteria; Bacillati; Bacillota; Bacilli; Caryophanales; Staphylococcaceae.